Molecule: ribosomal RNA, 496 nt
Filed under: uncultured bacterium
Lineage: Bacteria
Description: partial 16S ribosomal RNA
Rfam family: Bacterial small subunit ribosomal RNA
Source: RNAcentral
GAUGAACGCUGGCGGCGUGCCUAAUACAUGCCAGUCGAGCGAACAGACGAGGAGCUUGCUCCUCUGACGUUAGCGGCGGACGGGUGAGUAACACGUGGAUAACCUACCUAUAAGACUGGGAUAACUUCGGGAAACCGGAGCUAAUACCGGAUAAUAUAUUGAACCGCAUGGUUCAAUAGUGAAAGACGGUUUUGCUGUCACUUAUAGAUGGAUCCGCGCCGCAUUAGCUAGUUGGUAAGGUAACGGCUUACCAAGGCGACGAUGCGUAGCCGACCUGAGAGGGUGAUCGGCCACACUGGAACUGAGACACGGUCCAGACUCCUACGGGAGGCAGCAGUAGGGAAUCUUCCGCAAUGGGCGAAAGCCUGACGGAGCAACGCCGCGUGAGUGAUGAAGGUCUUCGGAUCGUAAAACUCUGUUAUUAGGGAAGAACAAAUGUGUAAGUAACUAUGCACGUCUUGACGGUACCUAAUCAGAAAGCCACGGCUAACUACGU